RNAcentral lists this transfer RNA (63 nucleotides) under Hyalella cajasi. RNAcentral describes it as "tRNA-Asn". Lineage: Eukaryota; Metazoa; Arthropoda; Malacostraca; Amphipoda; Hyalellidae. The record is from RNAcentral.
UUAGUUGAAGCCAAAUAGAGGCUAAUCAUUGUUAAUGAUUUAAUUGAGUUAUUUCCGACUGUC